This is a long non-coding RNA of Cyprinus carpio carpio, 1642 nucleotides long. The record is from Ensembl. NCBI's taxonomy places the organism in Eukaryota, Metazoa, Chordata, Actinopteri, Cypriniformes, Cyprinidae.
AUGGAGAUGGAAUGUAAAUGCACAAUUUACACAACUGAGAGACUAAGGGACGAAGUGUUACAUAUAGAGGCUGAACACAACACUGCAGACAACAGGUGGAUGUAUGUGGAAAGCAGCUCUUGUGCUGUUGCAUCAUGUCCUGCUGCCCUCAGAAGUUUCAGCACCCUGCCAGGCCUCGGAUGGUGGGGUUCAUGCUUAAAAUGCACACUUGGAGCCCAAGUCCCCCCUGAAGGCCUGACAGCUAGCCGUCUGGGCCACAGUCAACCAGAGUUCAGCCUUUUGAAAAGUACUGGCAAGGGAUCGGACAACUUCCUGCCACACAGAGAUGAAUGAGGCCAGUAUGUCUCUCUGGCUCAGCUCUGAGAGACAGGGAGGGUGUAGAGAGGAACGCAGAGGACCUCACGGGCAACACCUGGCAGUAGUGUGGUGUCAGUCUGACCCAAAUGUGGUCAGGUUCAACGGAAAACUGAGCAAGUUAGAGAGGCGAGAGGGUAAAAUGAGAUGCCCAUGACUCAACUCAAGCCUCACCUAGACAAUUAAGUUUUUAGUGGUUUGCUUCUACUUUGUGGAGUACGGGUUUUAAUAGAGUGCAUUGGUGCCCGCCCAUUUUUCAGUUAUGUUGGUUCAUUCUCUAUUUUUUCCAUAGAGAUUUUAAAUGAAGUGAAUCACAACAUUACAAACUUAUUAUGUGAAGCAAGAAAGUAUUUGAAAAGGUACAAGACUGCGUACUUAACGCCACACUGAUGGAAAGAACUACAAUCCAAUGAAGCAAUGCAAAUUACAUAAUUACAUAAAUAAAAGUUGUUGAUUAUACCUAUAAAAAUUAUAUAUUUUAAGUUUAUUGCAAAAUGGGCAUAAAUAUUCACAAAUAUUUAAGUAUUUUGACAGCAUAGUGAGAUCAACUGGAUUGCAUAAUUUGUGGUGCUUCAUGGGAGUGGGUUUUCCUUGUAAGUCGUUUUGGUUAAAUUUGCUCGCCACAUUGAUUGCUAGAAUUUUCUGUACACAUGGGCAAUGAAGUUUUUCACCACAAAUUCAACUUAAACAUGAUUAUUAACAAAAAAAUAAGGAUAGCAUGAUCCAUUAACAUCAGUUAACAACCUCAGAAUUCACUGUACAUCUGUCUUUAAAGGUUUAUACGUUAUCCUUAAAAGUAAAUUUCAUAACACAUUUAAAAAAUAAUGUAAUAUACAACCAGAAAGGAGGCUGAUUGUUAGCACUAAUGCUAAUGUACUUAGCGUUAGCAUUUUAAGGAUAUUCAGAAAACAAAUCAGUUAUUGAUUUUUAUUGUUUUGAAUCUUUCUCCUCAGGAAAAAAUCCCAAAGACCUCCACAGUAAUUGUGAAUUUAACUCCAUAUAUAUAUAUAUAUAUACACACAAUACACCCAUGCUUGCUAUUAUGGCCAGAUUGCACAUCCAUUGUGUCACAUUAUAAGACAAUGUGUUCUCAAUUAUGCCUCUUUGGUUGAUCAUAUCCAUGCGUACUGCCUCUCAUAAAUCAUCCCACAUAAAAUUAUUAUUUUUUUAAUUACCAGCUUUCCAAUUCAUUGCAUGACUCACUGUUCAUAAAAAUUCCAUUCAAAGGACAGAAUCAAAAUCUGCUGUUUCGACACAUUGUCACCUUUAAUUGGCGCUUUAUAAAUUG